This 89-nucleotide transfer RNA is filed under the name Planctomycetota bacterium. RNAcentral's name for it is "Planctomycetes bacterium tRNA-Leu". It matches the Rfam family "tRNA". Rfam says of the family: Transfer RNA (tRNA) molecules are approximately 80 nucleotides in length. The record is from RNAcentral. Lineage: Bacteria; Pseudomonadati; Planctomycetota.
GCCCGGAUGGUGGAAUUGGUAGACACGCUAGGUUGAGGGCCUAGUCCGGGUCAAACCGGGUGCAGGUUCGAGCCCUGUUCCGGGCACCA